GACACUGUGGCCGAGUGGUUAAGGCGACAGACUUGAAUUUCCUGCAAUCUUGGACGUCAGUUCGGAAUCUUGGAAUACGAUAUCUGUUUUCUUCGGAAGCGCAGGUUCGAACCCUGCCGGUGUCG
This 125-nucleotide transfer RNA is filed under the name Lasallia pustulata. RNAcentral describes it as "Umbilicaria pustulata tRNA-Ser". It matches the Rfam family "tRNA". From Rfam's summary of the family: Transfer RNA (tRNA) molecules are approximately 80 nucleotides in length. Their secondary structure includes four short double-helical elements and three loops (D, anti-codon, and T loops). The record is from RNAcentral. Lineage: Eukaryota; Fungi; Ascomycota; Lecanoromycetes; Umbilicariales; Umbilicariaceae.